This 1952-nucleotide ribosomal RNA is filed under the name marine metagenome. Its description in RNAcentral is "bacterial LSU rRNA". It matches the Rfam family "Bacterial large subunit ribosomal RNA", at positions 807 to 2925 of the family's 2925-position model. The record is from RNAcentral.
ACCUGUGGGUAGGGGUGAAAGGCUAAUCAAACCGGGAGAUAGCUCGUACUCUCCGAAAUGCAUUUAGGUGCAGCCUCGGAUUUAGUGUCAUAGAGGUAGAGCUACUGAUUGGGCUAGGGGGCUUCACCGCCUACCGAACCCUGACAAACUCCGAAUACUAUGACAUAUACCCGGGAGUGAGGGCAUGGGUGCUAAGGUCCAUGUCCGAGAGGGGAACAACCCAGACCAUCAGCUAAGGUCCCCAAAUAUUAGCUAAGUUGUUUAAACGUGGUGUGAUUGCUUUGACAGCUAGGAUGUUGGCUUGGAAGCAGCCAUUCUAUCAUGAAAGCGUAAUAGCUCACUAGUCGAGUUGUGUUGCGCUGAAAAUGUAUCGGGGCUGAACAGAAUCACCGAAGCGCCAGUUUUUAAGUAGCGAAGCGUUUUGUGCGCCAAUGAACAUACAUCGUAAGAUUUGUGGAAGGUCUCAAAAGUGACUAUGCUGACAUGAGUAACGAAAAAUCAUGUAAAGCCAUGAUCGCCGUAAGUCCAAGGGUUUCUGCUAACUGGGAAUCAGUGCAGAGUUAAGUUCGGUCCCUAAGAGUUUGUAUACACUUAUACGCUCGAUGGAGGACGUUUAUGCAAGACGGCUAUUAUACACAAAUACUGCAAAUUGGAUACGGUGUAUGUGUGUUGUAGUCCAGGAAAAAAGCAUUAAUGCAAGACCGUACCCGAAACCGACACAGGUGGACGAGUCGAGUAGACUCAGGCGUUGAGUGAACCAUAUUGAAGGAACUCGGCAAAAUAAUCCCGUAACUUAGGAAGAAGGGAUACCGAAAGGUGACACAAAAAUGGGGGUGACGACUUUUUACUAAAAAAUUAGGACUCUGCAAAAUGGUAACAUGCUGUAUAGGGUCUGACGUCUGCCCGGUGCUAGAAGUCUAAAAGGCGCAUUGCAAGAUGCAAAUGGAAAGCCUAGUAAACGGCGGUUGUAACUAUAACAAUCAUAAAGUAGCGAAAUUCAUUGCCAGCUAAUUCCUGGCCUGCAUGAAAGACGUAACGAUUGCCCCACUGUCUCCAGUAUGGACUCAGUGAAAUUGAAUUCUCCGUGCAGAUGCGGAGUACGUGCCCCAAGACGAGAAGACCCUGUGCAUCUUUACUGUACAUUUGCAUUGACAAAACGAUGAGCAUGCGUAGGAUAGGUGGGAGUACAUACAUCCUUGAAAUACCACCCUUGCCAUGGGUUUUGUCUUACACCAAAUUUGGUGCACAAUGCAUGUGAGGCAGUUUGACUGGGGCGGUCGCCUCCUAAAAGGUAACGGAGGCGUGCAAAGGUUCCCUCAGGCUGGUUGGACAUCAGUCGUAGAGUGUAAAGGCAUAAGGGAGCUUGACUGCGAGACCAACAAGUCGAGCAGAGACGAAAGUCGGCCUUAGUGAUCCGGCGCUUCCGAGUGGAAGGGGCGUCGCUCAACGGAUAAAAGUUACUCUAGGGAUAACAGGCUGAUCUCCCCCAAGAGUUCACAUCGACGGGGAGGUUUGGCACCUCGAUGUCGGCUCAUCGCAUCCUGGGGCGGUAGUACGUCCCAAGGGUUGGGCUGUUCGCCCAUGAAAGCGGUACGCGAGCUGGGUUCAGAACGUCGUGAGACAGUUCGGUCCAUAUCCGGUGUAGGCGUUAGAAUAUUGAGAGGAGCCUUCUUUAGUACGAGAGGACCGAGAAGGACAUACCUCUGGUGUACCAGUUAUCGUGCCAACGGUAAACGCUGGGUAGCUAUGUCUGGAGUAAAUAACUGCUGAAAGCAUAUAAGUAGGAAGUUCACCUUAAGAUGAGUGCUCUUUUGUCUCAACCGUUCAGUUUUACUGACAAAUGAAAGACAAGGAAGGUCACGGCAAGACGAGCCGUUUGAUAGGCAUGAAGUAGAAGUGCAGUAAUGCAUUCUGAAGCUGACAUGUGCUAAUAGACCGAGGGAUUUGAUUUU